UUUUAAAUAAUAAAUGACUGGGAUAGACUUUGGUAAGAGCCUAAGGGGAGAUAGUUUUGUUAAUGAAGGAUGAUAAACUUUGGUAAGGGGAGAUAAUUUUUCAAAUCAUAAAUGACGGGGAUAGAUUUUGAUAAGAGCGUAAGGUGAGAUAUUUUUGUUAAUGAAGGUUGAUAGACUUUGGUAAGGGGAGAUAAUUUUUCAACUCAUAAAUGACGGAGAUAGACUUUGGUAAGGGGAGAUAAUUUUUUCAAAUCAUAAAUGACGGGGAUAGACUUUAGUAAGAGCCUAAGGGGAGAUAUUUUUGUUAAUGAAGGUGGACAUACUUUGGUAAGGGGAGAUAAUUUUUCAAAUCAUAAAUGACGGGGAUAGACUUUAGUAAGAGCCUAAGGGAGAUAUUUUUGUUAAUGAAGGUAGACAUACUUUGGUAAGGGGAGAUAAUUUUUCAAAUCAUAAAUGACGGGGAUAGACUUUAGUAAGAGCCUAAGGGGAGAUAUUUUGUUAAUGAAGGUGGACAUACUUUUGUAAGGGGAGAUAAUUUUUCAAAUCAUAAAUGACGGGAUAGACUUUAGUAAGAGCCUAAGGGGAGAUAUUUUUGUUAAUGAAGGUGGACAGACUUUGGUAAGAGGUGAUAAUUUUUUAAUGAAGGAGAAUAAACUUGGGUAAGGCGAGAUGAUUUAGGGGAGAUAAUUCUUUUAAUUACAACUGGUGUUUUUUUUAAAGUUGUGUCCCCUUUAAUGAAAAAAAAACAGAUUUGAUAGUUACAUUAAUGGAAAAAAAUGAGACUUACAC
Molecule: long non-coding RNA, 789 nt
Filed under: Mytilus galloprovincialis (Mediterranean mussel)
Lineage: Eukaryota; Metazoa; Mollusca; Bivalvia; Mytilida; Mytilidae
Source: RNAcentral